Long non-coding RNA from Esox lucius (northern pike), 4733 nucleotides. Lineage: Eukaryota; Metazoa; Chordata; Actinopteri; Esociformes; Esocidae. The record is from Ensembl.
CAUGAGUCAAAGAAGAAACCGCAGCUUCAAAAACAAGCCUAAUAGACUUAUAGCGUGUUUAUUACGGUCAAUGAAUGAGACUGCAACAGUCUGAAGCUCAACAAUCAAAGAUUUAUUUUGCAAAAAUAAUCAAACGUCAACAACGCUCAUCCACUCAUCUCUGACCACCUGCGAGCAAAAUAUGAGAGAUGGAAAAAGAGGGGAUUCUCACUACGUAGUUUGCUAUGUCACCAUUCAUUAGCUUAUUACACUCAUAUGUAUCGAUAAUAUUCAAUAAUUAUACUAAAUUGAUGCUAGUUUACAUUGUAAUGUAUAUUACUGCCUUUCUUAUAUAAUCAAUAAUAGGCUAAUACCCAGAUUGUUGCUAGUUUACAGUACACUCUUUUAAACUGCUGCUGGUGUGCACUGUUAUGUUAAGUGUUUCUUUAUUUUAUUUUUGUCUGGCUCUAUUUUUGCUUAUACAUUCCCCACUCUCACUACGUAGUUGUCGGGUGCCAUGACACAAUAAUUUAAUUGCUCAGGAUGACGCUGUGUUGCUCGGUCCAUUUGACAAAUAAACGUUGAAACUUGUAACAUCGCUUGGAAUUCUAACUAGAUUUUUCAACAAUGGGAGGGAGGUGGGGGUGGGAAAGAUCCACGUGGGGAUACUACAGCACUACAUUGCUGUGAGGCUGUGAGCAGACAGUGUCAAUCAAUGCAUUUAGGGAAAGUAGCGACCAUAAAUGUACAGAAACGAUGUCGCUUGUCAGAUUUUCCUAACAAGCGACCAAACAUUUUAAAACAAUCCCCAAAAAACCGAGACCAGUAAUUAUUUCAAGCUCUUCUCCCUUAAUUCCACUGCAGUGUAUGUGGUUAUUGCCAUCGUGUGUCGAAUACAGACAAUAAAAGCGACAUACGAGAAAAAAAAGAAAAAAAACAGUAUUUACACACAGUAUGAACGUAUUAGGGAAUCGCAUACUCAAUGGAAUCCAUUACACCUGAUGCGCAGGGUUGAGCCGAUUAUGACGUAAGCGUCGUUCUCCAUUCAGUUAAAGCGGUUGCAUUGACGCAACAAUGUAAAAGACCUGUAAAAGCAAGUGCUUUCAGCAGAGCGGUUCAUAACCAAACUGAACAAUCAUCUGAGCAAAACUACCUACUUUAAGACUGUAAGACUGGAUCAGGUCUGGCUGUCUUUGCCUUGGUGUUGCUAGAAGGCAGUGUUCUAACCAUCGCUGAUACACAAGACCAGUUCAGCUUCUUCCUGGGGUUCCCCUGUGAUAACAUGCAGCCUGGACUGUCAACCAGUAAUGUCCGGAAGUAAAAGGCUUCUUGCUUUUGGGUAUUAUACCAGAUCUUCUGUGUCAUCCCUUCUGCUAAGUCCUGCUAAUGUAUGUGUUCUCGGAGUGUUGUGUAGCUGCAGCAACAGGUGACCACCAUUCUUAACCAGCUUCCUCCUGCUCCCAGACCAGCGAGACCCACACCUGACCCACACAUACCAAGAGGCCAUGGACAAACUGAUAAAGGGUGUGCCUAAUGUCAGAGAGGAACCCUGCUCGGAACACUAAAUCAAACCCUGACAACCUAUAGGACACACUGGAGACAUGCAUGUGUGUGUGUGUAUAUAUAUAUAUAUAUAUAUAUGUGUGUGUAAACUUGUGAGCACCAUGACCAAUCAGCAAAAAAAAGAUACUGGGACAUUUUGGCGGUCCUAUUCUGCAAUUUGGAAACGUCAAUGAUAAUGUGUGUAGACCAAAAUAUCUGAAAAAUAUUUAUGUAAUUUAGAUGAAAUUGGGAAAAAAAUUAUGUUAUUUGGCAUAAGAUUAUUCUUAAAAAUUCUUAUCCGGCACAGCCAGAAGAGGACUGGCCCCUCAGAGUCUGGUUCCUCUCUAGGUUUCUUCCAAGGUUUUUGACCCUACUUGGGAGUUUUUCCUAGCCACUGUGCAUCAAUGUAUUGUUCUUGCUUGCUCUUUGGGGUUUCUAGGCUGGGAAUCUGUGCAUUUUGUGAGAACAGACAAUAUAAAAAUGGCUUUAUAAAAUAAAAUGUGUUCAUUGCUUACAUCAGAUGUGGUUUUGCCUUCAUUAAAAAUCUUUAUAGUGGAAAUGGGUGUGAUUUGUCUUGGUUGUGCUCUUUUGCAGAAUAAUAACAGACCCAAGUCAGGGGGAGAAGCUUUCAUUCACAAAAUAUAGUACACGUCAGCCUUCUUUCCAUCUCUUUCUUGGCCUUUCCAGCUGUCUUUGUGCUUCCCCAAAUAUCUCUGUCUUAAACAGCAUAUUUAUUCUUGACUGGACCUUCAACACAUCCCAUGCACUAUCUGGCUGUCUUCCAAUCAUAUACGUGUAUUCUAAAUCUUAUCCUUGUAGGGCCUGGUAUAGUGUCCCAUCUUGAGAUCUUGGCUCCACACAUUCCCACUUAGCAGGUUGUAUGGGAGCCUCUUCAACUGUUUGUGAUACGGUACUUCAUACAGCACAAGAUAACGAAGUACCAAUCCUCGGUUUUGUGUUUCUAAACAAGAGAAUAGAACCAAAAUAAAUGUAUAUAAUAAAUGUAUAAAGACAUGCUUUCUCACAAUUCCCCCCAUGACUUUAAAAUACCACAUUUAUAUGUCAGAACAACUAGUCUAUAUAGCAUAUCAGCACUACCCAUGUAAUAAUAAGAAAAUUAAAAACAGUUACAAAUAAUAAAGCAAGCUCAUUCAUCUCACCACAAGUGUGAGAGGUACAGUUGUGGUUACUAUGCAUGCAUAUUCAAAUGAAUGACAGACAGUGGUAUUCAAAUUUGGCAUGGCCUUUGCUCUGGAAUGUGCCGUGGGAGCAUGCGCCUUACCUUGAGCGACAGACCCCUGCCAAUAGCACACUUGACAAGUUGUACCAAGAUAAAAAAGAUCAACACUACAACCACCGCUGGCAUAAUCAUGUUCAGCAGAGAACCUCCCAAUUUACAAAAAAUAGAUGACAACCAUGUAGAAAAACCUACAUCAAUCAUCAGGAUUGUGAUUAUGGUAUUUGGCACCUUCCUCACGGAUCUUACCAGCCAAAUCAGUCAGUUCUUCAGAGUUAUCAGGUAUGUACGUACAACACUAAAUUCCAAUAACUGCACAGGUUCCCCCUGAGCAGACAAUAUGUAGUCAAGAGCAAGUCUAUUUUGCAUUGCAACAGUACGAAGGGCAACCAUUGCAGCUGACUGUAAUUUCAGACUUUCAGAGGUCAUGUUAGCGAAAGCCUCCAAAGAGCUAGCCACACUAAUAACUUCUCCUGCCAACAUGGCAGUGCCAUAGGGAGGGAAUGCAAUAGCAAAAACCUGUUCCGUUUCAGUGAUGGCUCGUGUAUGUCGUGUUUUAAAGGGAGAAUAUGUACUCAGUCUCACAUGUGGAAUUACAUAACUCAAAUAACAUGAUCCUCGCCAUAAAGGUGGGAGCCAUGGAUAGGCAUUGGGGCUGCAAAUGAAGUGAGUUCCGUUAGGAGCAAUCAUGCCCGUAGUUAUUAAGUUAGCUAUGGUGUUGGCAUAAAAUACAGUUGCAGUCCCAUUAUUGAGGGUUAUAUUGGCAUACAUAAAACACUCAGGGUCUGCUGUUUUGGUUGCAAUACAAACCAAAAGCAUCAGAAUAUUGUUCCGUUAGACUUUUGGAUUGUUCUUGCUGUAUACACAACCAUCCCCUAGGCUGAUUAGUAACUACUAUAUGUGGUGGACGACGCCAGAAAUCAGGGCUGUUCCUAUUAAAGGCUGGCAUAUAACUAUGACGCCAUGAUUUCACAGGCACACCUAAAGAUGUUACAUGAUCCUGGACAGUAAUACAUCCAGAUUGAUUAGGUUCCCUUCAACAGGGGUCAGACGCAUUUGGUCCACGAGAGUGCAAGUAGCUAUCAUUAACACCCCAAUUUUUGUAUAUAGAAAAUUUGAACCAACUGAGGUCUUUCCAGAUCCCUAACAUCUCAGACUGAUUGAAUGGAAUGACUCCCUAACAUCUCAGACUGAUUGAAUGGAAUGACUCUCUAACAUCUCAGACUGAUUGAAUGGAAUAACUCCUAAGGGAAUACCUCCGUUAGCGGUGAAAAGGCUGUGGGUACAAAUCCAACAACUACUCUGGUUAACCGUCCUGGCAAAUUGUAGGGAGAGGGCCAAACAUGUAUUAAUACCAUGAUGACCAUCCUCGUGAGUAUGGUGUCUAUGUUUGGGACUAGAGCACCACCACUCUGUACCACCAGGAAACACACAGAAACAAUUACCAUGAACAGAAUGAUCUACAAAUGGAAAAUAUGUAUGACAGCUAGCUGAUUGAGAAAGAUAUUGGUUAAAGCCCUGAACUACCCAAUUUACUAUUCAAGGGCUAAACGUUUUUAAAUCUUCAUUUGUGAUUGUUGAUUUCUUUCUUUGGCAAUGUUAAUCUAAUAAGAUCAGGUGUGUAAGCAGUUGAGUAUUUCAAAUACAUGGAAUAACUGGGGGUUCCAGAGGAGUUUUCAUAACCACUGCAAAAAUCCUCACACCAUGAAAUCUCUAGUCCAGAAUCCAAACCAGUAAAUCUACAGUAUAUCGCCUGUGGUAGUAACUACAUGAACAUCUUUUAAGAAUGAACAUUUUAUUUCUUGUUGAUUUUCUUUAAGUCCUAGACACAUGAUGGUGCAGAUGGAAAAACUCUAGAUACCUUGAGGGAACAGAGGACCAGACUACUUUCAGGGCAUGUCCUCCUGAGUCAGUUUACUGCUCCCAGUACCUCUACAGUUCCAGCCUAUCUCAUACAGUCUGAAAAACAACCAUG